Molecule: long non-coding RNA, 1989 nt
Organism: Harpia harpyja (harpy eagle)
Lineage: Eukaryota; Metazoa; Chordata; Aves; Accipitriformes; Accipitridae
Exons: 3
Source: RefSeq, a predicted model, not a curated record
CAACUGUAAUUGUUUUUUCACUUAUACUGUACUAUUUUCUGUUCUCCACAAAGAAAAACUGGAAAAAUGACCAGAUAAUUCAUUUGUCCUCGCUAAUACUGUUCACACACAAGGUGGGGGACAGGUGGUGAGAAGGAUCUGCAUAUAGCUGGGAAGGCCAUAACUGAGAUGAUCAGAAAUCUCCAUGGAGGUAAUUUAUAAAAGAUCACAAUGGAUUGACUCAAAAUGCACAAACACAGUUAAUGGUAAUGAUCCUACAUUUACAAAAUACUGCAUCUGACAUUAGUCAGACACUCCUGUCUGUCUGUCAAGGUAUUAUUUUCAGUAGUUCUGUAGGUGGGAUGGACCAGUUUGAAAAUUCUCGAAGCUCUGCAAGACUUCACUGCAUCCAGGACAAACAGCAAUGGAAAGUUGGGCUGGAAGAAUGCAGUGAUGUGAACUGGAUAUCAGUUGUAUGGGUGAUGACAAUGUCAAGGUCAGUCUCUCUGUCUAUCAAGAUCCUCUGAGUCAAUUGGAGAACCCAGUCACUGGUGGAGCAGCAGUAUCCAAAUCAGGACAUUUUUUCGGCACUGAUCCAGAAGUGAGAAAGCCCUGCACAAAUCAUUAUAUUCUCCUAAAAUCCUGCAGCAAGUUGAGUAUAUAAAAGAUCACAGGUGUCUAAACACAGAUUUUUGCAUAUAAUGAACUGGCAGGGCUAUCUUCCAUAUAUCUGGAAGGCAGUAUCUGCUUGGAAGCAGGAUAUUCUUAGGGCCUGAUUUCCCAAUAACCGAUGCAUGGAAAAUGUGAGUCUAUUGAGCAUCUAACUUUUGUGUGACUUAGAAUGUUUAUUUGUGUGUGCAGGUACCUUACUUUGCACCUGAUAGCAUUCUAAGACUGUGUAUAAGUUAGGAUCAAAGUUAUGCAUCUGUACGUAAGCCUUUAACAUGGUUACUAUUCAUUGCUAUGAUGAAAAUGUUUCGGCUAACAUGAAGUUUUUUGCCUCAGAUUUCCUUGUUAUUGUUUUGGAUAUUUUAAACCUCAUUAUUAAAUCUUAAAGGCCCAAUAACUGAGCUGAGUAAAAUAGCACAGGUCUCUGACUUCAGUAGAGCGAGCCUGAUUUACACCAGCUGAGAAUCUGAUUGUCGCUUUUGAGCUAUCGUAAUUGCUUAAGUGAAACAGCCAAAGUAAUUGGUGCAAACUAAUACAACUGAUGGAAAACGAUUCAGUGUUUGUCAAUACCAAGUAUGCUAUGGAGAACCUAAUCAAUGAAUUAGUCUAUCAAUUAAUUAGUCUAGGCAGAAAAUGACUCCCUGUACUGUUAGUCCAUGAAAAGAUCAAUAAAGUCAAAUGUCUAGUUUAAUGUUUCUCACGUAAUGAUUGUAUUAUGAGAAGAAGAAUAAGAACAAUGUUUAUAAUGUUUCAGUUACAAUUUUCAGGUUUUCAAUUAACAAAAAGAUACCCAGAUAGUCCUGUUAGAAAGAUAAGCACAAAUUUCAGGAUUUUAAUGCUGUAAAAUCAUUCGUCCUCCUGUCUGUUUAAGCUGCAUCUUCAAGGGACUGAUAUUCCUACAAGGAAAUGAUAGCGUGGUAUAAGGAUUAAUGUACGCUGAACCACCAUUUUGUCAGUUUUCUACGUGGGAAAUUGUGGCAAGAACAUCUGGCUUUUAGGCCAAAUCCUUCAUUUUGGCAGGGGCUAGACUGAGCCACCUCUCUGGGAUGACUUUGGCAGUUCACAGCUGUUGUUGUGUCAACAUCAGAAACACACUGGGUGGAAAACUGAGAACUCAACCUUUUUCUGUUUCAAUUGGCUGUAGUCUUAUUAUUUCUGCUAACUGUGGCCUGGUCACCCACACUUUGAAUUUUGCAUAUUUAUGAUUGACUUUACAGCAAAAAUAAGCAAAUACAUCUUCUGUUACAAUCUGGUAAAGUCCCUAAUUAUGAAGCCUUUAAAGUCUGGCUGUUUACCAUGUAGUAUGAAAGAGAAGCAGCCAUUCUUGCUUUCAUGCACACA